Molecule: ribosomal RNA, 322 nt
Filed under: Ventrifissuridae sp.
Lineage: Eukaryota; Cercozoa; Thecofilosea; Ventricleftida; Ventrifissuridae
Description: SSU rRNA
Rfam family: Eukaryotic small subunit ribosomal RNA (bases 105-322)
Source: RNAcentral
GCAGCCUAUUAACGUUAGUUAAUAUGUGUUGUGAUUUGAUCUACCAUCCUUUCAAUUGUUUAUUCUUUUAUUUCUUCUUAACUGAAGGAGUGAGAGAAUAAAAUCAAACAAUUGAAUCUUUUACUUUGAAAAAAUUAGAGUGUUUAAAGCAGGCUUUUGCUAUGAAUACAUUAGCAUGGAAUAAUAAUUUAGGACUUUGGUUCUAUUUUGUUGGUUUCUAGAACUCGAGUAAUGAUUGAUAGGGAUAGUUGGGGGUGCUAGUAUUCAGAGGCCAGAGGUGAAAUUCUUGGAUUCUCUGAAGACUAACUUAUGCGAAAGCAUU